This is an unclassified non-coding RNA of Cercocebus atys (sooty mangabey), 102 nucleotides long. It matches the Rfam family "Y RNA". From Rfam's summary of the family: Y RNAs are components of the Ro ribonucleoprotein particle (Ro RNP), in association with Ro60 and La proteins. The Y RNAs and Ro60 and La proteins are well conserved, but the function of the Ro RNP is not known. The record is from Ensembl. NCBI's taxonomy places the organism in Eukaryota, Metazoa, Chordata, Mammalia, Primates, Cercopithecidae.
AGCUGGUCUGAGUACAGUGGUGUUUACACCUAAUUGAUCACAACCAGCUACGGAUUUAUUUGUUCCUUCUCCACUUCCACAGCUUCACUUGACUAGCCUUAA